ACGGAAGGCAGCAGUGGGGGAUAUUGCACAAUGGGGGAAACCCUGAUGCAGCGACGCCGCGUGAGUGAAGAAGUAUUUCGGUAUGUAAAGCUCUAUCAGCAGGAAAGAUAAUGACGGUACCUGACUAAGAAGCACCGGCUAAAUACGUGCCAGCAGCCGCGGUAAUACGUAUGGUGCAAGCGUUAUCCGGAUUUACUGGGUGUAAAGGGAGCGCAGACGGCAUGGCAAGCCAGAUGUGAAAGGCAGGGGCUCAACUCCUGGACUGCAUUUGGAACUGUCAAGCUAGAGGAUCGGAGAGGUAAGUGGAAUUCCUAGUGUAGCGGUGAAAUGCGUAGAUAUUAGGAGGAACACCAGUGGCGAAGGCGGCUUACUGGACGAUAACUGACGUUGAGGCUCGAAAGCGUGGGGAGCAAACAGGAUUAGAUACCCUGGUA
This 434-nucleotide ribosomal RNA is filed under the name uncultured Lachnospiraceae bacterium. Its description in RNAcentral is "partial 16S ribosomal RNA". It matches the Rfam family "Bacterial small subunit ribosomal RNA", at positions 341 to 792 of the family's 1533-position model. The record is from RNAcentral. Lineage: Bacteria; Bacillati; Bacillota; Clostridia; Lachnospirales; Lachnospiraceae.